Long non-coding RNA from Gadus morhua (Atlantic cod), 1443 nucleotides. RefSeq lists it as uncharacterized. Lineage: Eukaryota; Metazoa; Chordata; Actinopteri; Gadiformes; Gadidae. The record is from RefSeq and is a predicted model, not a curated record. The transcript has 2 exons.
AGAGAAAGGGAGGGACCUCUUUGCCCUCCAGAAACCAGGAAGGGAAUUGAGUUGGUCUGCUGCUUGCUUAGCGCAGACAGGGCUCUGAGCUGCACGACAGUUAGAGGGAGAGAGCGAGCUCCGGAGAGGAGGAGAGCAGAGAGAGAGAGAGAGAGAGCUAAGCCAUAACAAGCACCACCACGGCCAUCGCAGAGUGUAUUCUAGGAAUGACUGGGAAGUGCCAAUCGCCAAGUCAGGCCAUGCUUUUACAGUGGAACACUAUUAAAGGUCAGCCGGGACGAUUUCUGUCUCGAUAAAGACCAACUUCUGGUGCUACGUUGUGUCAUGAGUUAGCUUAGCCCGGUAGUGACACUGUGGUUCCGAGGUGGAAGACCCCCGAACUGCGCCGUGUUGGGAACACGAGGGUGCACACGGCCCCCAGAACCAUCAGCCCGCGAGGCGACGCAACCGAAACUGAAGUCGCAGUCUGUCAGUCUGUUAAUCCCCAAAGAACGAUCGUGAUAGCCAGACCCUGCUGCUGCCACUGCUGCUGUGUGUGUGUGUGUGUGUGUGUGUGUGUGUGUGUGUGUGUGUGUGUGUGUGGGUGUGUGUGUGUGUCUGUGUCUGUGUGGUGGUGCAGGGGCGUUGUCUGUACCUCUGUGCGGCGGUGUACAUUUUGUGCCGUGGGGGGGGGGGGGGGCUUUACAUAAAAAAAGAUGAGUGCAGGGGUGGGUCUCUCGGGUCUGUUUGACUUGCAAAGCAGGUGUGUGUGUGUGUGUGUGUGUGUGUGUGUGUGUGUGUGAGUCAGGGUGAAAGGAGUGGGCCCGCCCAAGCGUCCCACAGGCAAACAGGGAGGGUUGCUGCCUGCCUGCCUGCCUGCCUGCCUGCCUGCCUGCCUGCCUGCCUGCCUGCCUGCCUGCCUGCCUGGCUGCCUGGUUGCUGGCUGGUGCACUCUACGGGCCUUGUCGCCCACAGGCAUGAAUUAGUGAUAAGGAAUGUUUCAGACCACAAGGAGGUGUCAGGAUCAGGUUUGUUUGCUCCGUGUUUCCUCUUUCCUGCCGCUUCUCGCGGGUCAUCCGGGGACGUGGCCCUCCUAAAGCUACUCCCACAGACGGAGGCUGGCCGCGCGCCCAGUGUGUGUGCGUCUUAUAUCCUAUCAGCUUCUUUACCCCCGCAAAGCCGCCACCGCCGCCGCCGCCGCCCUGGGGUCAGUCGUGUGUCCCAGGGGGAAGCCUGACCUGACCUGGCAAGGGUGUGCGCGCUGGCUGUGUGUGUGUGUGUGUGUGUGUGUGUGCAUAUGUGUGCGAUUGCCUGUAUGCAAGGAUAGCAGUUUGGCUCAAGUUUGUGUAGGCUCACCAGAGAUCUAAUUCCACCUGUGAAGGACAUGACUGUUCACCAUGUGCUCUCUCUCUCUCUCUCACUCUGGCUCACUCUCUGGCUCGCUCUCUCACUCUGGCUCACUCU